Molecule: ribosomal RNA, 301 nt
Filed under: uncultured bacterium
Lineage: Bacteria
Description: partial 16S ribosomal RNA
Rfam family: Bacterial small subunit ribosomal RNA
Source: RNAcentral
CAGUAGCCACGGUAAUACGAAGGGUGCUAGCGUUGCUCGGAAUUACUGGGCGUAAAGGGUGCGUAGGCGGCUUAUUAAGUCAGGGGUGAAAGGCGGUAGCUUAACUAUCGGAGUGCCCUUGAUACUGAUGAGCUUGAAUGCAGCUGAGGUAGGCGGAAUGUGACAAGUAGCGGUGAAAUGCAUAGAUAUGUCACAGAACACCGAUUGCGAAGGCAGCUUACUAAAGUGCGAUUGACGCUGAGGCACGAAAGCGUGGGGAUCAAACAGGAUUAGAUACCCGAGUAGUCCCUGUCUCUUAUAC